This 294-nucleotide ribosomal RNA is filed under the name uncultured bacterium. RNAcentral describes it as "partial 16S ribosomal RNA". It matches the Rfam family "Bacterial small subunit ribosomal RNA", at positions 337 to 648 of the family's 1533-position model. The record is from RNAcentral.
UCCUACGGGGCGCAGCAGUGGGGGAUAUUGCACAAUGGGGGAAACCCUGAUGCAGCGACGCCGCGUGUAGGAAGACGGUCCUCUGGAUUGUAAACUACUGUCCCCAGGGACGAAGAUGACGGUACCUGGGGAGGAAGCUCCGGCUAACUACGUGCCAGCAGCCGCGGUAAUACGUAGGGAGCGAGCGUUGUCCGGAAUUACUGGGGGUAAAGGGAGCGUAGGCGGGGAUGCAAGUUGGGUGUUAAAUCUACCGGAUCAACUGGUAGUCGCACGCAAAACUGAAGAUCUUGAGUG